Bufo bufo (common toad) is the source of this 7635-nucleotide RNA transcript. It is a transcript of the gene named calmodulin binding transcription activator 2, with no coding region annotated. The transcript is spliced from 23 exons. The record is from RefSeq and is a predicted model, not a curated record. Lineage: Eukaryota; Metazoa; Chordata; Amphibia; Anura; Bufonidae.
CUAAGAUGAGAGAGGGGGGGGUUCGGUAAUAAGAUGGCGGCUGGAGGGUCCCGGGGAGAGAAAAGUAAAUCCGGACGCCCCAUGGCCUAACAUCUCUUCUCCUCUCCCCGAGAUGUCCCGCUAUUUAAAAUGAAUAGCAAGGAGUGUGCCGAGGUCUCAGAGAACGGCCACCAUAUCAAGGUUUUUCUACCCAAGAAGCUGCUGGAGUGUUUGCCGAAGUGUACUGCUCUACCUAAGGAGAGGCUGCGCUGGAACACCAAUGAGGAAAUCGCCUCUUACCUCAUUACCUUUGAGAAGCAUGACGAGUGGCUGUCUUGUGCCCCCAAAACCAGACCCCAAAAUGGCUCCAUCAUCCUAUACAACCGCAAGAAGGUGAAAUAUCGCAAAGAUGGCUACUGCUGGAAGAAGCGCAAAGACGGCAAGACAACGCGAGAAGAUCACAUGAAGCUGAAGGUGCAGGGGAUGGAGUGCCUGUACGGCUGCUACGUCCACUCCUCCAUCGUCCCAACAUUUCACCGCCGCUGCUACUGGCUGCUACAGAACCCGGAUAUUGUCCUAGUGCACUAUCUGAAUGUUCCUGCCAUUGAGGACUGCGGGAAGAUCUGCGGGCCCAUCCUCUGCUCCACCAGCAGUGACCGAAAGGAAUGGAUGAAGUGGAGCAAGGAAGAGCUGAUCAGCCAACUGAAGCCCAUGUUUCAUGGCAUUAAAUGGUCUUGCAGUAAUGGAAAUGGAACCAGUGAAUUCUCCAUAGAGCAGCUGGUGCAGCAGACGCUGGAGACUCACCAGGCCAAACCUCCACCCCGCACCCACACCUGUCUGUGUACCACCAACCUUGGGUCAGCUGGCAGUGUCCCUCACAAAUGUACCAGCACCAAGCACCGCAUCAUCUCUCCAAAAGUGGAGCCUCGACUCUGCCCAUUCCCUGCCCUUACAGAGGUGCAGAACAUCUCGUCAACCUCUGCUGAGCCUGACCAGGGAAAGGAACGGAGGCCUGGCCAAAAGGGAAACAAGACGCCUAUGGCCAAUGACCCCAGCUCCUCACAUUCCUUCUCAGACCUUCCAGACACCACUCAGACUUCACCGCCACUGACACUUACCAACGGUUUCUAUGCUGACCGCGAGCUGGCCGGAGUCACCAUAACGACCACUCCUGGGGUACCAGGGAUUAGCGCUGUGCUUGUGAUGACGGGCAUAGCUGAAAAACCCCUAGCAUUGACACCAAGUCAACACCUGAUGCCAGGCGACACUGCGAGCCAACCUGCCACAGUCCCGGUUGGCAUUUCCUUGUUGCCUUCUCCAGUGGAGAGACUCUUACUGUCUUCUUCACAUAGCCUGGAGGUAGCAAUGGACUCUGCCCCGGGGGGCAGCAAUGGAACGUUUGACCCUGACUCCUUCCUCAACAGCCCUAAAGAAGGACAGACUUAUGGAGGAGCAGCAAAGACAGAUGACUUCAAGUCUGAGACAUCCGAUGGAGGGAUGGUGGGCAGUCAGGUGGCAGCUUAUGUGGAAGAAGACGAGCUGUUGCCAAAUGGUGAAAUGGUAACCAGCGUAAAGGAGGAGACGGCCAAUGUGAAGAAGACAAGAGUGGAGCAGGAGCCUAACAAUGUGAAGGAGGAGGCCAGCCGGGGGUCAGAGGUUGAGAUGGAGGACACCAGGGAAGGGCAGGUCAGCUCCAGCGACGAAGUGAAUGCAGACGUUGUCUCCUCAGGAGAAGUGCAGGAAGACUCUGACGCCCCCAGCACCCACAUGAACGACUUGUACUCCAUCAUCCAGAAUGACCUGAGCUCAUCGUCUGGAGCCUCCAGCGUCCACAUGGAACUCUCAGCCGAAAACUUCAACAUCUCCUUCGACAGUCAGUUUCCAGACCUUAUCUCUGACCUCAUGACUGAAGAAGCCGCUCCUGGAGGUUACGAACAGUUCGGAGAUCCCCAGACGACUUCUUCACCUGUCCAGGCAAUGUAUGGACCCCCACAGCAGCAACAGCACCAGCCCAUGAGUGGGAACACGCCCGGCAUUACCGAUCCUUUCCCUGAGGCGGGAGAUGGGGCCACAGGGCUUGUCGGAAUCACAGACUUCUCUCCAGAAUGGUCCUACCCAGAGGGUGGAGUUAAGAUUCUCAUCACCGGCCCGUGGCUGGAGGACACCGAUGCCUACUCCUGCAUAUUUGAUCAUGUGACUGUGCCAGCCUCGCUCAUCCAAUCCGGAGUCUUACGAUGCUACUGCCCAGCGCAUGAGGCCGGCCUGGUCGCCCUGCAGGUCGUACAGCGCCAGCAGAUCAUCUCGCACUCCGUCAUCUUCGAGUACAGGGCAAGGAACUUCUUGUCACUGCCCAGCACCCAGCUCGACUGGCUGUCCCUGGAUGACAAUCAGUUCAGGAUGUCUAUACUGGAGCGUCUGGAGCAGAUGGAACGUCGGAUGGCAGAUAUGAGCUCUGGACAGCACCAGCCGUCGGCGGGAACACCGUGCGGCCCCCGCGGAGGAGACCACCAGGUGUCGGCGGCCGAUACCUUUGAAGCUCGCCUGGUUGCUGUCUGUGAGAAGAUGAUGUCACAGACCUGCUGGGUGACAUCAGACCUUCUGGCACACGAGAUGAGUUUCCGAGGGAUGACCCUGCUACACCUGGCCGCGGCUCAGGGCUAUGCCCGUCUUAUUGAGACCCUGAUUCAGUGGAGGAGCCUCCACUCUCAGAGCCUUGCUGUGGAAUUGGAGGUCGACCCUCUGAACGUGGAUCACUUCUCCUGCACACCCCUGAUGUGGGCCUGCGCUCUAGGACACACUGAGGCUGCCACACUGCUCUUCCGCUGGGACUGCAGAGCCCUAACCAUACCGGACUCCCUGGGGCGACUUCCUUUGGGAGUCGCCCGAUCACGAGGGCAUGUGAAGCUGGCAUCUACCCUAGAAGAGAUGCAGAGGCAGGACAUGGCGCGUGGAAACUUCACGGAUUUGCAGCAGUCAAGCUGGCAGUCGCUCGUGGGAAGUCAGGAGAUCAGUCGAGGGCUCUCUCCUCUGUCGACCAGCGCCGAUACGGGUCUCAGCAGCCUCCCCUCCCCCUCAGAGGUAUCAGAUGGGUCUGUCUCAGUAACCUCUGCGUAUUCCAGUAGUUCUGCCCUACGCGGCUCACCUGACUGCAGCCCAGAGAGCAGUCAAGACGCCCCAGUAGAGACGCCCCCCAAUUCUAGGAUACUGGGAGCUGCUUCAUGGGAGCUGGAGGACCCCAUAGAACACAUCUCCUACCUGGACUCUCCUGGAGUAGAUGAAGCUGAUCUCAUUGAGUAUCAGGAGGACACGGAGAACCAGGACUAUCUGCAGGUUGAUAUGGUUACCCUCGCAGAACAGAUCAUAGAAGCCACCCCAGACCGCAUCAAGCAGGACGACUUCACAGCAUCCGACUCUGCGGCUCUCAGAGAGAGGUCCGGAAAUCUCAGCAAGACCAUGGCGUGGCUCGCCAGCUACCUAGACACUGCCGACCAGAUGCCUGGGUUACCCCCUCAUGGGGAGGGGAUGCGUGCAGCUCGUGCUUUGGCUCGCUUUGCACAGAUGAACCCAGGAGAGGACGGCGGUAACCUGGCAUCAGAGAUUGGCGGUUAUGGGCAGCGCUUCAAACGGGUGAAUAGAAGAUCCAUGGAGGGGUUACGUGUCAAGGUGACACGAUCCGAGGCGCCGCCGUCCCCGACAACUCCUCCUCCUCUAGGUGAGAUCUCCUUUGAAAGAUUUGAUCCCCCUGGUGCCGCACGAUGGUCAGAGUUCCUCAGUGCCUCAAGUAGUGGACGCAUGGAAAGUGAGUUUGCUCUGCUGACCCUCUCGGACCAUGAGCAGCGGGAACUGUACGAGGCGGCUCGAGUUAUCCAGACGGCCUUCCGCAAGUACAAGGGACGACGACUGAAGGAACAACAGGACUUGGCGGCUGCGGUCAUUCAGCGUUGCUAUCGGAAAUAUAAGCAGUACGCGCUAUACAAGAAGAUGACGCAGGCGGCCAUCCUGAUCCAGUCCAAGUUCCGCAGCUAUUAUGAGCAGAAGCGUUUCCAGCAGAGCCGCCGGGCUGCUGUGCUGAUUCAGCAAUGUUAUCGCAGCUACAGAGAAGGGGCCCGGCGGGGCCCUGCAAUACAACAUCGCAUGAAGGGGUCAUUUCUCACAAAGAAGCAGGACCAGGCUGCUCGCAAGAUCAUGCGCUUUCUCCGUCGUUGUCGUCACAGGUAUAGAGUGGGUCAGAAACGCUACGAGGCACAGUCCGCAUCUAGUGGUUAGGAAUGGUAUCUAGUGAUCAGGAACGUUCUGAAGAAAGGUCGGCAAUAUAUUGGUGGGGAGCAUUAUGAGGUAGGGUCACCAUCUUGUGGUUAGGAACACUGAGGGCAGCUUACCGUCUAGUGGUCAAGAACAUUGUGUGGUAGGGUCACCAUCCAGUGGUCCUGAACAUUAUGAGGUUUGCUCACCAUCUAGUGGUCAGGAACAUUAUGAGGUAGGGUCGCCAUCUAGCGGUCAGGAACAUUGAGGUAGGGUUGCCAUCUAGUGGUCAGGAACAUUAUGAGGUAGGGUUGCCAUCUAGUGGUCAGGAACAUUUUGAGGUAGGGUCGCCAUCUAGUGGUCAGGAACAUUAUGAGGUAGGGUCGCCAUCUAGCGGUCAGGAACAUUGAGGUAGGGUCGCCAUCUAGUGGUCAGGAACAUUAUGAGGUAGGGUUGCCAUCUAGCAGUCAGGAAAAUUGAGGUAGGGUCGCCAUCUAGCAGUCAGGAACAUUUUGAGGUAGGGUCGCCAUCUAGCAGUCAGGAACAUUUUGAGGUAGGGUCGCCAUCUAGCAGUCAGGAACAUUUUGAGGUAGGGUCGCCAUCUAGCAGUCAGGAACAUUUUGAGGUAGGGUCGCCAUCUAGCAGUAAGGAACAUUAUGAGGUAGGGUCGCCAUCUAGCAGGCAGGAACAUUCUGAGGUAGGGUCGCCAUCUAGCAGUCAGGAACAUUAUGAGGUAGGGUCGCCAUCUAGCAGUAAGGAACAUUAUGAGGUAGGGUCGCCAUCUAGCAGUAAGGAACAUUAUGAGGUAGGGUCGCCAUCUAGCGGUCAGGAACGUUAUGAGGUAGGGUCGCCAUCUAGCGGUCAGGAACGUUAUGAGGUAGGGUCGCCAUCUAGCGGUCAGGAACAUUAUGAGAUAGGGUCGCCAUCUAGCGGUCAGGAACAUUGAGGUAGGGUCGCCAUCUAGCGGUCAGGAACAUUAUGAGAUAGGGUCGCCAUCUAGCGGUCAGGAACAUUGAGGUAGGGUCGCCAUCUAGCGGUCAGGAACAUUGAGGUAGGGUCGCCAUCUAGCGGUCAGGAACAUUAUGAGAUAGGGUCGCCAUCUAGCGGUCAGGAACAUUGAGGUAGGGUCGCCAUCUAGCGGUCAGGAACAUUAUGAGAUAGGGUCGCCAUCUAGCGGUCAGGAACAUUGAGGUAGGGUCGCCAUCUAGCGGUCAGGAACGUUAUGAGAUAGGGUCGCCAUCUAGCAGUCAGGAACAUUGAGGUAGGGUCGCCAUCUAGCAGUAAGGAACAUCAUAUGAGGUAGGGUCGCCAUCUAGCAGUAAGGAACAUUAUGAGGUAGGGUCGCCAUCUAGCGGUCAGGAACGUUAUGAGGUAGGGUCGCCAUCUAGUGGUCAGGAACAUUAUGAGGUAGGGUCGCCAUCUAGUGGUCAGGAACAUUAUGAGGUAGGGUCGCCAUCUAGUGGUCAGGAACAUUAUGAGGUAGGGUCGCCAUCUAGUGGUCAGGAACAUUAUGAGGUAGGGUCGCCAUCUAGUGGUCAGGAGUAAGGCUACAAGGUAUUAUGAGCUCUGUGAUCACCCCACUAAUAUAGAUCAUGACUAGAGGUGAGCGAGUUUCAUAUUAUGAAAUUCGUUCACGCUUCGUUUGGUGGUAAAAGCAGAAUUGCGUUAUGGAUUCCGUUACCACGGACCAUAACGCAGUUCUAUGCCUCUAAAGGCGUUCCGUUAUGCAUUCCCUCAUAGAAUUGCGUUACGGUCCGUGGUAACGGAAUCCAUAACGCAAUUCUGCUUUUACCACCAAACGAAGCGUGAAGAAUCUCCAUAACCUGAACUUGGCUGACCCCUAGUCCUGACCUGUGCACCCCCUCCUGAGGGGUCCCUCACUCGGUUCUCUUUCCGCUGCACAGGAUGAAGGAGAUAAAGCAGACGCAGGAUCUGGACUGUUUACAGAAGAGGGGGCUGACCAAUUAACCCCUUGCUCCUGAUGGAUCGGCGCACUUCCUGGAACGCAGAGCCUCAGUGUGCACCGCCCAUGUGUGUGUGUAAAUAUUCCUGUGUGGUAUCACUCGUAACUCUUAAUGAGCUGCUCCGCGAGGCGCAGCGCCCCCGCCUGUGUGUAUCUGCAGUGCGCACAGGCGCAUGUACAUAGGCUAUCCUGUACAAAUCUGUCUAUAUAUAUUUAUGCACGUCCUUCCCAGUGUAUGGCCCUGGUGGGACCCCCUAUGUACACGUGUGGUGUAUACAUGUGCGGGGGAGGCCGGGUACCAUUGCAUGUGGCUGUAAUGUGCGCGUGUAUAUAUCCGUAUAUAAAUAUAUACAUAUAUAUAUAUAGGGUUGUGUGUGUAUAUACAUAUAUAUAUCUGUACAUUUGUGGCGAGGGUCACGUGAGCAUCACACUCAGGCAGCUGAAUUAUUUAUUUCGCUGGUGUCAUUUCAUGCACUUUGGUUUAUUAUUAUACAGUUAUUACGUCUUUGUGUGUCUCUUUUUUUACGGUUCUUGCAGGACAUUUUUCAUCCGUUUUCCGUUGUUUUUGUCUGUUUUUUUUAUAAAGCUUUUUUUAGUCGUUGUUUUACAUUGUCCUGAAAGAUGAGAGCGGCGGAGGCAUCAAGUCCUCCGGGGUCCGGCGGGAGGGGAGGGCGCACAGAUACGGGAUCUCCACGUUAGCCGGUAAGCGCCUGGGCGUCGCCGGCAGAGGUCGCCGUCAUGGGAGCGUCUAUUGCACUAUUAUUGGGGGGGGGGGGGGGGUUUGUUCGUCCUCUCGCUACCCACGGCUGUCGGAACCAGCGGCGAGUGACACGUUUCAGAGCCUGCCUGCGGUCAGAUUUUGCCAUUUAACACUUUUUACGUAAACCUUUUCGCACUGCUGAAGCGGGGAGUAUAAAACGAAAGGCGAAACUUUAUAUGGAGGGUCCGGUAUACGCACAAAGUAAAUGUGAGAAUGAUGUCGGGGUCUCGCAUGUAAUUAAGUGUCUGGCUGCGGGCGACGUCUGUGCCCUUGGAUAUAUUUUUUUUCUCCUAUUUGCCGUUUACUUGUUUUGGCAUUUUGUGUUUUUGUAAUUUAUUUUCCUUUUUCUGUCAAAUUAUUUCAUUUUCCCUUCUGCACUUUAUUUUAAGAUUUUUUUUGCUUAAUAUUUUUUUUUAUUCCCCGCUUUGGCUAUAAAACACUGAAGGGAAUCGGGAAAGUUGAGCUGAAUAAUUUUUUUUUGUAGUUUUAUUAUCCUUGUUUUUUCAGUGAUAACACUAAAUAUUUUUUGUCUUUUCACCAAGGCUGAAAUAACAUGGAGAAUUAGAACAUGUAACGUAUUAUUCCAGUGUUUGUUUUUUUUGCCUGGUUUUUUAACGAUUCCUAACUUUCUAAAAUUACCUUUUUAGAUAGUUUUUUUUUUUUUCCUCAAAGCGGCCCUCUGGUUCAAGAC